GAAGGAACCCAUCCUUCUCUAGGACCCAGGGGAAUUCAGUAGCCCUGGCCGCCUCCCACUCGGUUUUCCCUCCCAGCUCUCUGGGCCCCUUCCCCUGUGGUUCCCUGGGGAAUUGGAAAUACCAGAGCUGAAAUAACAGUCUGGGCACAGAGGCAAGUCUCCAUGGAGGGCAGGAAGCCCCCUAGAUCCCCCUCAGCCACCCGCCUGGCCAUCUUCUGGUUUUCCUGACUUUCUCCCCCUCUCAAGAGGCAGGCGGGGCUGCGGCCUGCUGAAUGGGUAACCUUGCCUGUUCCCACCCAGACCCCUCUGGCCCAGGACUCCGGAGCUGGUAGAGGCCCAGCUGAUCCUCAGUCCAGGAAGGAAGAGAGGGGAUCUCAUCCCAGGGCCUUCCUCAGUGAAGGGAUUGUGCAGAAACUGCCGUCUGGGGCCUGCUGAGCGGGAGAGCCCCUUCUGUCAAGAAAAGCAUGCAAAGUGUAAAGUUUGAUGAACGAUCCCAGAGUGAAGACACCCAUGGAACUACCACCUAGAUCGAGAAAUGGAACAUCACAGCAGCUGGCAACUUCCGGCAGGAAGCUCCUUGAAGUUCUGCUUAUGUCAGCACUUGGCUACAUCUAAAAUGAUUUUUCUUCAACAAGAUUUUUGAUGACUGAAUUCUAUGUUUAGAUCAUAAUUUAACUAGUAACCUCCCUUUGUUGGUUUCAUUUUACUUUUUUAGCUCUUAUAAACGAGGCUGUAAUAAGCAACCUUGCACGUAAACCUUUGUCUGCCUCUGCUAUGUAGUAGCCUCAAGUGCCUGGGUUUGGAUCCAGCCCUCCUUUGUGAGCUGCAGGACUCACUAUGCCUUAUUUCUUUCUGUCAAAUGGGAAUAACGGUAAGGACUUAAAUGAGGUGACAUAUAGGGUGUGUUUAGUACAGAGUCUGGUGCUUACAAACAAUAAGCAUCAGGCAUUAUUAGUUCCUUAGAUUCAUUUAUUAGAAGCUGGAUUUCUGGAGAAAGGGUUUGAAUAUUUCUAAGGUUUUGAAACAAGUUACUCAGCUGUCUCUAGAGUGCCCUGGCUCUUAUCGCCACUGGGUACUAUCUUCUUAAAGAGCAUUAAACAUUGGGUAGGUUAAAAACACAUCAAUGUAUUUUUUUAGUUGCAUUUCUUUGAUUACCUGUGAGAGGGAGCCUUUUUUUAAAUGUUUAUUUAUUUAAUGUUGUGUGUGUGUGUGUGUGUGUGUGAGAGAGAGAGAGAGAGACAGAGACAGAGAGAGAGAGAGAGAGAGAGAGAGAGAGAGAGAGAAUGAGUGGGGGAGGGGCAGAGAGAGGGAGACACAGAACCUGAAGCAGGCUCCAGACUCUGAGCUGUCAGCACAGAGCCCUACGUGGAGCUCAAACCCACGAACCGUGAGAUCAUGACCUGAGCUGAAAUCUAGAGUCGGAUGCUUAACUGGCUGAGCCACCCAGGCACCCUGCAUCAGCAUUUUUUAUACUUUGCUGAUGUGCCAAAGCACUUCAUUUUUAAGCUGUCAAAUUAUUAAUUUUACCUUAUGAUCCCAGACUUUAUUGUUGUGUGGUCUUUGCUUUCAAGAAUAUAUACAUUAAAAAAAAUUUUUUUUGUAAUGUUUAUUUUUGAGAGAGAGUGAGGCAGAAUGUGAGCAGGGGAGGGGCAGAGAGAGAGGGAGACGCAGAAUCCGAAGCAGGCUUCAGGCUCUGAGCUGUCAGCACAGAGCCUGACGUGGGGCUUGAACUCACAGACUAUGAGAUCAUGACCUGAGCCAAAGUCAGACGCUUAACCGACUGAGCCACCCAGGCGUCUCAUAUAUACUUUUUUUUUUUUUUUUUUUUUUUUAAGUAGGCUCCAUGCCCAGUGUGGAGCCCAGUGCUGGGGUUGAAUUCACAAUUGUGAGAUCAAAAUCUGAGCUGAGAUCAAGAGUUGGACACUUAAGCGACUGAGCCACCCAGGCACCCUCUAAACAUUCUCAAUUAAAAUUUCUUUCAUGAUGUUAUGAUUUCAUUUGUUAAGCCUUUAGUGUAUUUUGUCUUUAUGUAUGGUGAGAAGUAAGAACAUAGCUUUAAAACAACUUAAGCAACUAUCCCAAUAUGGAUCAUAAAUGAAUUAAUCAUUUUUGAGUCAUCUAAAGGCCAUUUUUAAUCAUAUGCUGAAUAUAUUUUAUGUGUUUGGGCUUUCCAUUCUGUUCCAUUGGCCUAUCAGAUCAUUCUUGCACUGGUAUUGUCCAUUGCAAUAAUUAUGACAAGUCCCCUUUAUUAUUUUUUUAAAUUAUGUUUUGCGGUUGUCAUUUAUAUGAACUCUAGAUUUUUUUUCUUUGCCAAAGUAAACAGAAACGAAACAAUCCCUCUGGGAAUUGGAAUUGGCUAAAAUGUAUAGAUUAAUUCAAUGAUGAUCAACUUCUUUGUACCAUUUGAGUGUUUUCAUCCAGAAACAUGGCGUUUCUUUUUAUUGUGAAGGUCUCUUUUAUUGUUAUUCUUCAGUGAAGUUUUAUUUUAUAGAUGAGUGUGUUUGGUGCUUCUUUUCAUGAAACAUAGAAUGUGUGUCUGUGGUUGGUGGCUCCAGAAAUGGCUCCCAAGGAUCCUUGAAAGUCCUCACGUGUAUGAUCUUCUCCCCUUGUAUGUGGGUUCCACCUAGUGACUGCCUUCUAAUGAAUAGAACAUGGCAAAAUGUGAUGAGGUGUACUUCUGUGAUUAUGUUAUAAAACACUGUGACUUUGUCUUGCUACAACUCUCUCUGGCCCUCUCACCCGCCUGCUGUGAUGAAACCACCUGCCACAUCGUGAGCCACCUUAGGGGAAGCCCAUGUGGCAAGGAACUGAGGGUGGCUUCUGACCACCAAGUAACAAGGAACUGAGGCCCUCAGUCCAACGACCCAUGAGGAAUGGAAUCCUGCCAGCAAUCACCUGAGUGCACUUCCCCAGGUGAACCUUCAGAUGAGACCACAGCACUGGCUAAAAACUUGAUUGUAGCCUCGUGAGAGACCCUGAGACCGAGAACUCAGCUAAGCCACACCCAGAUGCCUGACCCACAGAAGCUGUGAGAUAGUAAAUGUUUUUUUUUUUAUUUUAUUUUUUUUUAACAUUUAUUCAUCUUUGAGACAGAGAGAGACAGAGCAUGAGCAGGGGAGGGUCAGAGAGAGAGGGAGACACAGAAUCCGAAACAGGCUCCAGGCUCUGAGCUGUCAGCCCAGAGCCUGAUGUGGGGCUUGAACUCACAGACCGUGAGAUCAUGACCUGAGCCGAAGUCGGACGCCCAACCGACUGAGCCACCCAGGCGCCCCGAGAUAGUAAAUGUUUUAAACCACUAAGCUUCGGGGUAAUCUGUUAUGCAGCAAUGGAUAAUUAAUAUAGUAUCUUUUGUGCAUAUUUUCUUUUUAAAAAAAUAUUUAUUGGUUUAUUUUGAGAGAGAGAGAAUGUUCAUGAGUGGGGGAGGGGCAGAGAGAGCCUGAUGCAGCACUCGGCCCCAUGAACUGUGUGAUCAUGACCUGAGCCAAAAUCAAGAGUCAGAUGCUUAACUGACUGAGCCACCCAGGUGCCCCUGUGCAUAUUUUCUAACAGGUUAGUCUUUUCUAACAAGUAGAAAAGACAUUAACUUUUCUGUAGUUAUUUUAUGUCUGGCCACUCUUCUAUUCUGGUAUUUUGUAUUUCUUUUCCUAGUUUUUCCAAGAAGAUCAUCGUAUCUACAGAUAUGUAAUAAUAAUAUAAUUUUUUCCCCUGUCUAAUUGCAUUAACUAAGAUCUUUAGAACAAUGUUGAAUAACAAGACAGUAAAAAUCUUUGCCUUGUCUCCAUA
Acinonyx jubatus (cheetah) is the source of this 3783-nucleotide long non-coding RNA. RefSeq lists it as uncharacterized. Lineage: Eukaryota; Metazoa; Chordata; Mammalia; Carnivora; Felidae. The record is from RefSeq and is a predicted model, not a curated record. The transcript has 2 exons.